RNAcentral lists this long non-coding RNA (687 nucleotides) under Salmo salar (Atlantic salmon). RNAcentral describes it as "lncRNA (ENSSSAG00000086650.1, ENSSSAG00000089112.1)". The record is from RNAcentral. Lineage: Eukaryota; Metazoa; Chordata; Actinopteri; Salmoniformes; Salmonidae.
CAACCCACUCAAGUGACGCACCCCUCCUAGGGACUGCAUGGAAGAACAUCAGUAUGCCAGUGAGUCAGCCCCAGUAAUAGGGUUAGAGGCAGAUAAUCCCAGUGGAGAGAGGGGAACCGGCCUGGCAGAGACAGCAAGGGCGGUUCGUUGCUCCAGUGCCUUUCCGUUCACCUUCACACUACUGGACCAGGCUACACUCAAUCAUAGGACCUACUGAAGAGAUGAGUCUUCAAUAAAGACUUAAAGGUUGAGACUGAGUCUGCGUCUCUCACAUGGGUCCUGGCAGAGUUGUGCAGACUCAGGACAACGGAGCUUUGGAGGAAUACGCAGAUUUAAAGAGCCAGACACGUUGCUGCUCGAGCAUCCAGAACAAAUUCCAGCCCUUACCUUACGUUGCUUUAAUUCAGUACACCCACCUCUGUCAAUGCAAUUUUCUUCAUGCCAUUUUAAUCCAAAUCUGCGCAGAGUUAUUUUCAGUGGCUCCCAGAAAUCUGAACCCAGUAAGCAAAAUGAUGUUUAAAAUAUGUAUUUUCUGAACGUUGAAAAUAUAUAUUUUACGGAUGUUUGAAAUCAGGUUAAUUUUCGGUUCUGAAUUAAUGCUGAAAAUACUUUCUCUACUUUUUUUUUACUGUAAAGUACUGCACUCUGCUGUGCUCUACUGCAGUGGUUCUCAAACCUCUACUCAGG